Molecule: ribosomal RNA, 740 nt
Filed under: bacterium enrichment culture
Lineage: Bacteria
Description: bacterial SSU rRNA
Rfam family: Bacterial small subunit ribosomal RNA
Source: RNAcentral
GUCGAGCGAGCAAUAUUAAGGAAGUUUUCGGAUGGAAUUAAAAUUGACUGAGCGGCGGACGGGUGAGUAACGCGUGGGUAACCUGCCUCAUACAGGGGGAUAACAGUUGGAAACGACUGCUAAUACCGCAUAAGCGCACAGUGCUGCAUAGCACAGUGUGAAAAACUCCGGUGGUAUGAGAUGGACCCGCGUCUGAUUAGGUAGUUGGUGAGGUAACGGCCCACCAAGCCGACGAUCAGUAGCCGACCUGAGAGGGUGACCGGCCACAUUGGGACUGAGACACGGCCCAAACUCCUACGGGAGGCAGCAGUGGGGAAUAUUGGACAAUGGGGGAAACCCUGAUCCAGCGACGCCGCGUGAGUGAAGAAGUGUUUCGGCAUGUAAAGCUCUAUCAGCAGGGAAGAAAAUGACGGUACCUGACUAAGAAGCCCCGGCUAACUACGUGCCAGCAGCCGCGGUAAUACGUAGGGGGCAAGCGUUAUCCGGAUUUACUGGGUGUAAAGGGAGCGUAGACGGCGANCCAAGUCUGGAGUGAAAGCCCGGGGCUCAACCCCGGGACUGCUUUGGAAACUGUGUUGCUAGAGUGCAGGAGAGGUAAGUGGAAUUCCUAGUGUAGCGGUGAAAUGCGUAGAUAUUAGGAGGAACACCAGUGGCGAAGGCGGCUUACUGGACUGUAACUGACGUUGAGGCUCGAAAGCGUGGGGAGCAAACAGGAUUAGAUACCCUGGUAGUCCACGCCG